AGCUUUGCGCAGUGGCAGCAUCAUAGCCAAUGAGGUUUAUCCGAGGCGUGAUUAUUGCUAAUUGAUCCCUAAGUCAAAUGAGUACUUCUCUACCAUUUUAAACUAUGCCUCCUUUUCUUACAUAUAAAAAACCUAUAUUCUCCUUUGAUAUUAUUUGGCAUUUCUGGUAACAAUAGCAGCUU
This is a small nuclear RNA of Heterocephalus glaber (naked mole-rat), 182 nucleotides long. Its record names the gene U4. It matches the Rfam family "U4 spliceosomal RNA". Rfam says of the family: U4 small nuclear RNA (U4 snRNA) is a component of the major U2-dependent spliceosome. The record is from Ensembl. Lineage: Eukaryota; Metazoa; Chordata; Mammalia; Rodentia; Bathyergidae.